Molecule: ribosomal RNA, 208 nt
Filed under: uncultured bacterium
Lineage: Bacteria
Description: partial 16S ribosomal RNA
Rfam family: Bacterial small subunit ribosomal RNA
Source: RNAcentral
CACGUAGGCGGAUUGGUAAGUCAGAUGUGAAAUCCCGGAGCUCAACUCCGGAACUGCAUUUGAUACUGCCAGUCUUGAGUGAGGUAGAGGGGGGUGGAAUUCCCGGUGUAGAGGUGAAAUUCGUAGAUAUCGGGAGGAACACCAGAGGCGAAGGCGACCCCCUGGGCCUCUACUGACGCUGAGGUGCGAAAGCGUGGGGAGCAAACAG